This 523-nucleotide RNase P RNA is filed under the name Luteitalea sp. RNAcentral describes it as "RNase P RNA component class A". It matches the Rfam family "Bacterial RNase P class A". Rfam says of the family: Ribonuclease P (RNase P) is a ubiquitous endoribonuclease, found in archaea, bacteria and eukarya as well as chloroplasts and mitochondria. Its best characterised activity is the generation of mature 5'-ends of tRNAs by cleaving the 5'-leader elements of precursor-tRNAs. The record is from RNAcentral. Lineage: Bacteria; Pseudomonadati; Acidobacteriota; Vicinamibacteria; Vicinamibacterales; Vicinamibacteraceae.
GCAGCAAGCCAGACGACCGCUCACCUUCGCGCCUCCGGCGCUACGGCGCAGCAAGCUCGCAGGGGUUUGCUGCGCGGAGAUGAGAGGAAAGUCCGAACUCCGCAGGGCAGUGCGCCGGGUAACGCCCGGUCAGGGCAACUUGAAGGAAAGUGGCACAGAAAAUAUACCGCCCGCCGUCGCACGCUCCGCGUGCUACGGCGCGGCAGGCACCCCAGGGAGCUUGCUGCGCCGAAGCCAGGAGGGCGAAGGCGGGUAAGGGUGAAAAGGUGCGGUAAGAGCGCACCGCGCCCGUGGUAACACGGGUGGCAGGCAAAACCCCGCACGGAGCAAGACCAAAUAGGGUGGCGGCUGCCGCCGGGCGCUCAACACGCCGGGCGGUGGCGCAGACGGCCCGUCUGUAGGGCCACCGGGUAGGUCGCUGGACCCCGCCAGCAAUGGCGGGGCAAGAGGAAUGGUCGUCGCCCGCCGCAGCCGUCAGGGCGACCGGGGGGAGACAGAAUUCGGCUUACGGCCGGCUGCGACA